This 519-nucleotide long non-coding RNA is filed under the name Rattus norvegicus (Norway rat). RNAcentral's name for it is "long non-coding RNA NONRATT003748". Lineage: Eukaryota; Metazoa; Chordata; Mammalia; Rodentia; Muridae. The record is from RNAcentral.
GGUACAGGGGCCUACUGGCAACAAACAAUACUUAUGGACUGCCCGAAGAACAGUGGACCUUGGCGUGGGCCGGGUAACCCACUAGUUCAUAGUCAUCCCUGACUGCCCCCAUCCCUUGCUCAUGAGAAAAUUGCUCCCCAAAAUGGCUUGCGUGGGCUGAAAUGGCUGGGUGAGGCCAUGUGUAUGCAUAUCUACAGACUGUGUAUGCGGAGCUUAAGACCUGUCUCAGUGCACCAGUACCUGAUGCUGGGAGAUGAAUGGCUUAGCACUGUUCUACUUGGAACAUAUCACUCCUGCCAGUCGGGCACUAACAAUUAUCACCCAAUCCAGGACUUAAACUGUGAUAGAGUGGCUGAUGUUUGCCUUUGAAUAGAGUGUCCCAAAAGAUGGGACCACUGGUCAGCUGCCAUGGACUAGAUUCUCCACCUGUUGGGGACAAUCUGGUCACCUUGCUGCCCAAUCCUGACCUGGAGCCACCACAGCACGAGUGUCAAGCACUGGCAGAAGCCCAUGGGUGGA